RNAcentral lists this ribosomal RNA (429 nucleotides) under Gemmatimonadota bacterium. RNAcentral describes it as "Gemmatimonadetes bacterium partial 16S ribosomal RNA". It matches the Rfam family "Bacterial small subunit ribosomal RNA", at positions 355 to 776 of the family's 1533-position model. The record is from RNAcentral. Lineage: Bacteria; Pseudomonadati; Gemmatimonadota.
UAGGGAAUCUUCGGCAAUGGACGAAAGUCUGACCGAGCAACGCCGCGUGAGUGAAGAAGGUUUUCGGAUCGUAAAACUCUGUUGUUAGAGAAGAACAAGGACGUUAGUAACUGAACGUCCCCUGACGGUAUCUAACCAGAAAGCCACGGCUAACUACGUGCCAGCAGCCGCGGUAAUACGUAGGUGGCAAGCGUUGUCCGGAUUUAUUGGGCGUAAAGCGAGCGCAGGCGGUUUCUUAAGUCUGAUGUGAAAGCCCCCGGCUCAACCGGGGAGGGUCAUUGGAAACUGGGGGACUUGAGUGCAGGAGAGGGGAGUGGAAUUCCAUGUGUAGCGGUGAAAUGCGUAGAUAUAUGGAGGAACACCAGUGGCGAAGGCGGCUCUCUGGUCUGUAACUGACGCUGAGGCUCGAAAGCGUGGGGAGCAAACAGG